GAGGGAGAGGGAGAAGGGGGGAGAGAGGGAGAGGGGUUAGCUACAGGCGGAACACCUUGCACAGUCUCCUCCCGGGCAUUGCAGUGUCUGGUCGUCGCUCUCUGAAGAACAAAACUGCCUACCACAAGGGAAGGAGCGAAAGAAAGGAAGAAACAGGAGAGAGAAGGAGAGAAGGAGGGAGAGAGCGAGAAGCAGCAUCACACAAGUCUCUUCUCCUGGAUGCCACAGAAGGUGGUGUCGCUGCCCGGCCACCUGAAGGUCAGCGAAGGUCAACAAAGUGUCAGUUCAAGGUCAUGCCACUCCUGUCUGGAUCUGUUUUUU
Penaeus monodon (black tiger shrimp) is the source of this 321-nucleotide long non-coding RNA. RefSeq lists it as uncharacterized. The transcript is spliced from 3 exons. The record is from RefSeq and is a predicted model, not a curated record. NCBI's taxonomy places the organism in Eukaryota, Metazoa, Arthropoda, Malacostraca, Decapoda, Penaeidae.